This 743-nucleotide ribosomal RNA is filed under the name Pythium sp. UZ156. Its description in RNAcentral is "LSU rRNA". It matches the Rfam family "Eukaryotic large subunit ribosomal RNA", at positions 62 to 648 of the family's 3401-position model. The record is from RNAcentral. Lineage: Eukaryota; Oomycota; Peronosporomycetes; Pythiales; Pythiaceae.
AAACUAACAAGGAUUCCCCUAGUAACGGCGAGUGAAGCGGGAUGAGCUCAAGCUUAAAAUCUCUGUGCCAGUUUGGCAUGGCGAAUUGUAGUCUAUGGAGGCGCUAUCAGUGCGAUUGUUCGGGGUAAGUUCCUUGGAAGAGGACAGCAUCGAGGGUGAUACUCCCGUAUGUACCUGUUCAGUCGCGCGUACGAUACGUUUUCUUUGAGUCGCGUUGUUUGGGAAUGCAGCGCAAAGUAGGUGGUAAAUUCCAUCUAAAGCUAAAUAUUGGUGCGAGACCGAUAGCGAACAAGUACCGUGAGGGAAAGAUGAAAAGAACUUUGAAAAGAGAGUUAAAGAGUACCUGAAACUGCUGAAAGGGAACCGAAUCGUUUCCAGUGUCUAUAAUCCAUGGUAUAUUUCAUUGGUGUGUAAGUGCGUGCAGCGUUUUGGAAGUAGUUUUCUGCUCCUGUCGUUGUUGUGCAUUUGCCUGCUGGUGCCCUGUGCUGUGGUGGGACGUCAGAGUCAGUUCGUGUGUUGCGGGAAAUGGUUAUUGGGGAGGUAGGUCACUUCGGUGGCUGUUAUAUCCUGGUAACUAGUCGUCGUGGCUGGGACUGAGGUGCCUACAACGUGCUUUUGAGUCUGCGGGCUUCUCGUGUUGCUGUUUGCUUGGAUAGCUUGCUAUGUUCGUAAAUAAGUCGUGCGAUUGAGACCUGUAGUAACUUGUUGCCGUUCGGGACUUUGACGAAAUGGAGCGAUCCGAC